AUGUUUAUCUCUCUUUCGAUCUCUUCGUUCCUCCUGUGCUUCCUGCUCUUUUCCUUGAAUUAUGGUCCUUACCUUGGCCAAAUUGGUGGGCCGUUUCCCUGCCCCCUUGAGACCCGCCAACAGAGCCUGGCGAUAGAUUCGGAGACUCUCCCUACCUGGAGCCGUUUCAUAGUCCCAGUCCGGGCGGGUGAGGGGGCCACGGCCAGACCGCCGCGGCCGCCGCCCGGGGCAAGGCGGCGAGACCAACGGCGCUCCGGAUCCACAACCUCCACCCCCCACGACGGCCCACGGGACCGCGCGGCACGGGGCACCGCGCGAGCCGCCCCGACAGGGCAAAAGGGGGGCCGGGAUCGCCAGCGGGGAGCGGGGGCGGGGCCGCGGCUCGGGCCCCGGACGCACGGCCACAGGACCGGGAGAGGAGGGGGAGGAGGAACUGGAGGCAGGAGGGGAAGUAGGGGCCACCGGGGUCAAGGCGGGGGCCAGGGGCGGAUUAUAGGGUGGAGGCUGUAAGAGGGGGUAGGAAGGGAGGAAGGGUUUCAUCCAUGCCGGAGGAUUCCGAAUGAGAUCCUCCCAAGUGAGGAUAUAGGCUACUUGAUCUGGAUGACCUUGUGGUCCGGGAUCCAUUACCUUCGUCUUAACCUGUAAUAUAAUAGAGAGGUCAAAAGUCCCGUCCCGGGGCCACCCUACGGAUAGGGUGGGCCACUCUGAUGAACAAUAAGUUCGCCAUCGACCUUUCCGAACCUCAAGGGAAAGAUUGUGAGCUCUUGCUUGGACGUCCGAGAAAUGAGUCAGAGUCAAAGUUAGAGGAGUAGUCAAUGUCUGUCCCAUGGCUGUGUCGUCCUGUCCUGUCCACGCGUCCACACCAGCACACUUACACACACAUACACAAAGAUGACUACAAUGUCGACACAGACCAGACAACACAGACUAGACAACAACCAAGGAGCCGCGGCCAGGUAUUCAGAUUCAGAUGGCAGGGGAGGCCUGCCUACGGAUUUGGGGAGUCUGACGAACUUGUCAGUUCUCCCCUACAGACACCACCGAGGCGUCCCUCGGGGCUGGGGUGUGAAGGUUCAGGACACGUCUGUCCUCCUUCAACACUCCUACUGAGGUGGCCGGCCGGCCUCAGAAUUCACAGUUCAGAGACAAAACAUAGAACACAAUACCUGUGUGUAGACAAAGGCACAGAAGUCUGUCUUCAGUCAGUCCGUCAGUGGCCCGGGCCGGAGAGUCAUCCACCGACGGGGCCGGGGUUCUCUUGCCUUCCCUCGAUUCCCGGCCAACGCACCAAAUGUUAGGAGCCAAGCUCCUAAGCCCUAUGGAAUGAGAGUUGGCGCAAAGAACCACACGGCACUCCGACGUCGGCAGAGAGUCUUUACUGGUGCACCAGGGCUCCCCAGUGUUGGAAAGCGGGAGAGCCUCGAUAAACGGGGUUACAGGUCUUUUAUACCAUUUUGAGUUACAUUUGCAUACAGGCUGGCGAUAGGCUCUCUGCUCGGUGGUGGUUGGGGUUGUGGGUAAUUUCGUCCCGGGGAAGCUUGGGAAAUGAAGUUUCUUUCGGCUGAUGCAACUUGGAGCCCGGGUUGCGAAGCGGCUGAUGCAACUUGGGGCCCGGGUUGCGUAGCGGCUGGGGACUUUCCGACUAGGGUGGGGCGCAUAAGCAGUUUUACAGAAGCGGAAUGAAAGCGGUUAUUUAUGUAGCAAAAGGUGGGGGUUCUGACUUCUCAAGGCAGAUAAUCUCUGUCCAGUAAUAAAAGAUAACCCUGAAGGCUGUGGUUUUAGUAC
This 1785-nucleotide long non-coding RNA is filed under the name Felis catus (domestic cat). RNAcentral's name for it is "lncRNA (ENSFCAG00000047378.1)". Lineage: Eukaryota; Metazoa; Chordata; Mammalia; Carnivora; Felidae. The record is from RNAcentral.